GGAAAAUACAGAUUCAAGUGUUUUGCAGAUGGUCAGUUUUCCUCUAUCUCUUCCUGGACUCAGAAUAUAUAAAGAAUAUUUGGAAUUCAAAUUUCAACAGGCUCAGACUGAAGGAUGUUCCUGUUUGAAGAAUUGUCCUGUUUCAAAAGUGCUUGUACAUCUUCUGGGACAAGAAAAGCUGAAGAUCUGGCGUGAAUGAAUCCACUACAGGUAUAGCUGCUGGAGUAAGCAGAGAACUCUAAAGUUUUUCUCCAUCAUGUGCUGUUGAAAGAGAUGACAUAUCCAGAAAAAUAUUAGACUCAAUGUGAAAAACUAGAAGCAGCUGGCCAAUAAACUACCUAGAAAGCAUCCAGCCUGGAUCUCAGCUGCAAAAUUUGCUGUCAUGUAGUGUUGGGCUGCAACGGACUGUGGAAUUUGGGAUCCCUGUGGAGUAGGCUCUCUAUGCCUCUGGCAGCUCAUCAGGAUAAAGUUGAAAUUAGGAUUGCAGAGAAG
Molecule: long non-coding RNA, 492 nt
Organism: Cuculus canorus (common cuckoo)
Lineage: Eukaryota; Metazoa; Chordata; Aves; Cuculiformes; Cuculidae
Exons: 6
Source: RefSeq, a predicted model, not a curated record